This 268-nucleotide unclassified non-coding RNA is filed under the name uncultured fungus. Its description in RNAcentral is "sequence contains ITS1". The record is from RNAcentral. Lineage: Eukaryota; Fungi.
GUGUUAUUUAAUAAACUUUGCCCCGACAGAGAUUCCAUUUCUGAAAUGCUCCACAGGCCAGUUUUACUUCUUUAAAAGACAUUCGAAUGGAGUUUGUAAGGAGAGAAAUACAUAGGGAGGCGCAGCAUGGCGCCACCCUACAAAGGUGCACAGGUGUGAGAAAAGGUUCAGAAUAUUGUGUUUUCAAGGAGUGCACUUGCCCGUUAAACAGGCCAGCAACAUCCCCGAGCAUUCUUUAAUGAUCCUUCCGCAGGUUCACCUACGGAAA